This 456-nucleotide ribosomal RNA is filed under the name uncultured bacterium. RNAcentral's name for it is "bacterial SSU rRNA". It matches the Rfam family "Bacterial small subunit ribosomal RNA", at positions 100 to 537 of the family's 1533-position model. The record is from RNAcentral.
GAACGGGUGAGUAAUAUAUCGGAACGUACCUGUGAGUGGGGGAUACGUAGCGAAAGUUACCGCUAAUACCGCAUACGAUCUAAGGAUGAAAGUGGGGGAUCGCAAGACCUCAUGCUCCCUGGAGCGGCCGAUAUCUGAUUAGCUAGUUGGUGGGGUAAAGGCCUACCAAGGCAUCGAUCAGUAGCUUGGUCUUGAGGAGGACGACCCAAGCCACACUGGAACUGAGACACGGUCCAGACUCCAUAACGGGAGGCAGCAGUGGGGAAUUUUGGACAAUGGGCGCAAGCCUGAUCCAGCAAUGCCGCGUGAGUGAAGAAGGCCUUCGGGUUGUAAAGCUCUUUUGUCAGGGAAGAAACGGUGGUUUCUAAAUACAGAUCACUAAUGACGGUACCCUGAAGAAUAAGCACCGGCUAACUACGGUGCCAGCAGGCCGCGGGUAAAUACGUAGGGGUGCAA